GAUGAACGCUGGCGGCGUGCUUAACACAUGCAAGUCGAACGAAACACCUUAUUUGAUUUUCUUCGGAACUGAAGAUUUGGUGAUUGAGUGGCGGACGAGUGAGUAACGCGUGGGUAACCUGCCCUGUACAGGGGGAUAACAGUCAGAAAUGACUGCUAAUACCGCAUAAGACCACAGCACCGCAUGGUGCAGGGGUAAAAACUCCGGUGGUACAGGAUGGACCCGCGUCUGAUUAGCUGGUUGGUGAGGUAACGGCUCACCAAGGCGACGAUCAGUAGCCGGCUUGAGAGAGUGAACGGCCACAUUGGGACUGAGACACGGCCCAAACUCCUACGGGAGGCAGCAGUGGGGAAUAUUGCACAAUGGGGGAAACCCUGACGCAGCGACGCCGCGUGAGUGAAGAAGUAUCUCGGUAUGUAAAGCUCUAUCAGCAGGGAAGAAAAUGACGGUACCUGACUAAGAAGCCCCGGCUAACUACGUGCCAGCCGCCGCCGUAA
This 497-nucleotide ribosomal RNA is filed under the name uncultured bacterium. Its description in RNAcentral is "partial 16S ribosomal RNA". It matches the Rfam family "Bacterial small subunit ribosomal RNA", at positions 28 to 523 of the family's 1533-position model. The record is from RNAcentral.